Molecule: ribosomal RNA, 253 nt
Filed under: uncultured bacterium
Lineage: Bacteria
Description: partial 16S ribosomal RNA
Rfam family: Bacterial small subunit ribosomal RNA
Source: RNAcentral
UACGGAGGGGGCUAGCGUUGUCCGAAGUUACUGGGCGUAAAGCGCGCGUAGGCGGGUUGGUAAGUCCGCUGUGAAAGCCCGGGGCUCAACCCCGGAAUUGCCUUUAAGACUGCAUCGCUUGAAUCCAGGAGAGGUGAGUGGAAUUCCGAGUGUAGAGGUGAAAUUCGUAGAUAUUCGGAAGAACACCAGUGGCGAAGGCGGCUCACUGGACUGGUAUUGACGCUGAGGUGCGAAAGCGUGGGGAGCAAACAGG